UAAUACGGAGGGUGCAAGCGUUGUCCGGAUUUAUUGGGUUUAAAGGGUGCGUAGGCGGUGCGUUAAGUCAGUGGUGAAAUCCCGCAGCUCAACUGUGGAACUGCCAUUGAUACUGGCGCACUUGAGUACGGACGAGGUAGGCGGAAUUUAUGGUGUAGCGGUGAAAUGCAUAGAUACCAUAAAGAACACCGAUAGCGAAGGCAGCUUACUAGACCGUAACUGACGCUCAGGCACGAAAGCGUGGGGAGCGAACAGGAUUAGAUACCCUGGUAGUCCACGCCGUAAACGAUGAUCACUCGAUGUGUGCAAUACACCGUACGCGUCCAAGCGAAAGCGUUAAGUGAUCCACCUGGGGAGUACGUUGGCAACAAUG
Molecule: ribosomal RNA, 373 nt
Filed under: uncultured Bacteroidota bacterium
Lineage: Bacteria; Pseudomonadati; Bacteroidota
Description: bacterial SSU rRNA
Rfam family: Bacterial small subunit ribosomal RNA
Source: RNAcentral